CAUUAGAUGUCUGAUUAAAGUAAUGAUCUUUUAAAUCAUUCAUAGUAAAUUUACUUCUAAUGA
Molecule: transfer RNA, 63 nt
Filed under: Eoxenos laboulbenei
Lineage: Eukaryota; Metazoa; Arthropoda; Insecta; Strepsiptera; Mengenillidae
Description: transfer RNA-Lys
Source: RNAcentral